Molecule: long non-coding RNA, 927 nt
Filed under: Pan troglodytes (chimpanzee)
Lineage: Eukaryota; Metazoa; Chordata; Mammalia; Primates; Hominidae
Description: long non-coding RNA NONPTRT013206
Source: RNAcentral
GGCUGGUUUAAAGGCCUUUUUUUCUGUCCAUUGGAUGAACUGGAUGUCAAUAACUCAGGCUGGGUGGGCGGGGCUGAGAGAGGUCGGUGAGAGCGGCCUUAGCAACCGCCAGUGAGCUGUGAAGACUUGGGUUGGGCGGGGCUGCGGGAGGUGACGCCGGGAGGUCCCGGCUGAGAGCGCCGGCUGCCGGCUGGGGACAUGGCAUCUAACUACCAUACAAGUUCAGACCAAUGGAAGAAAAGAGCAGCAAAAAUUGAACUGAAUGAAUCCCAAAAGCAAGAAAUUAAAGACGCCUUUAAUUUAUUUGAUAUUGAUGGGUCUGGAACCAUCGAUAUAAAAGAAGGAAAUGCUUGAUGAAGCUGAUCGUGAUGGAGAUGGAGAAAUAAACGAGGAAGAUUUUUUGAGAGUGAUGAAAAAGACUACUCGUUAUUAAUAGCGUUGUUUUAGUCCUUGUGGAAAAUUAACAAAUUUGUAUUUGUUAUGCAGUUUUAUAAUUUAAUAUCUGAAUGUAUUCAUUUUCAGUUUUUAGUUUAUAUGUACACAUUGGCUUCUUGAUGUCUAAUCCAUGUAAGAAGUUACACAUCUCUACCAAUAUGAUGUUAAAUCUACAGCAUCAAGAAACAAAACAUAAUGACUUCUUUGAGCCAUUAAUCCAAGAACAGUAUUGAUUCUAGCUGCUCUUUUGAGAACCUUAGGUCACAAAGACUUAGAAUUUUAAAGUUUGAUGAAGUUGGCUUCACAUCCAAAUGAAUUUGGCAAACAAAACUUAUAUUUUCCUUUCGUGCAACCCAAAAAAACCUGAUAAACAUUUGCUUUUUAGUCAGUUACUCAAAUACAUAAAGUAUUAAAUAGAACUGUCUGGAAACAUUAUUUGCUAAUUUUCUUCUUUUAGUUAUAAAGAAAAUUCAAAAUAGCACUUACAUCACC